Molecule: ribosomal RNA, 515 nt
Filed under: uncultured bacterium
Lineage: Bacteria
Description: bacterial SSU rRNA
Rfam family: Bacterial small subunit ribosomal RNA
Source: RNAcentral
UAGUCCACGCCCUAAACGAUGCUAACUCGAUAUUUGGGUCUUGAACCUGAGUGUCUAAGCGAAAGCGAUAAGUUAGCCACCUGGGGAGUACGUUCGCAAGAAUGAAACUCAAAGGAAUUGGCGGGGGCCCGCACAAGCGGAGGAACAUGUGGUUUAAUUCGAUGAUACGCGAGGAACCUUACCUGGACUUAAAUGUAGAUUGCAUGAAUCAGAGAUGGUUCUUUCUUCGGACUAUUUACAAGGUGCUGCAUGGUUGUCGUCAGCUCGUGCCGUGAGGUGUCGGGUUAAGUCCCAUAACGAGCGCAACCCCUAUCCUUAGUUGCCAGCGGGUCAUGCCGGGGACUCUGAGGAGACUGCCACCGUAAGGUGUGAGGAAGGUGGGGAUGACGUCAAAUCAGCACGGCCCUUAUGUCCAGGGCUACACACGUGUUACAAUGGACGGUACAAAGGGCAGCUACCUGGCGACAGGAUGUUAAUCCCCAAAAGCUGUCUCAGUUCGGAUUGUCGUCUGCAAC